UCCGGCGUGGUCUAGUGGCUAGGAUACCUGGCUCUCACCCAGGAGGCCUAAAUUCGAUUUCCGGCGUCGAAA
Ixodes scapularis (black-legged tick) is the source of this 72-nucleotide non-coding RNA. The record is from Rfam. Lineage: Eukaryota; Metazoa; Arthropoda; Arachnida; Ixodida; Ixodidae.